Molecule: ribosomal RNA, 261 nt
Filed under: uncultured bacterium
Lineage: Bacteria
Description: partial 16S ribosomal RNA
Rfam family: Bacterial small subunit ribosomal RNA
Source: RNAcentral
AGUGGCGGACGGGGUGAGUAACGCGUGGGUAACCUGCCUCACACAGGGGGAUAACAGUUGGAAACGACCGCUAAUACCGCAUAAGCCAACAGGGGCGCAUGCUCUGGUUGGAAAAGAUUAAUCGGUGUGAGAUGGACCCGCGUCUGAUUAGCUGGUUGGUGAGGUAACGGCCCACCAAGGCGACGAUCAGUAGCCGACCUGAGAGGGUGACCGGCCACAUUGGGACUGAGACACGGCCCAAACUCCUACGGGAGGCAGCAG